AGUGAACGCUGGCGGUAGGCCUAACACAUGCAAGUCGAACGGCAGCACAGUAAGAGCUUGCUCUUACGGGUGGCGAGUGGCGGACGGGUGAGGAAUACACCGGAAUCUACUUUUUCGUGGGGGAUAACGUAGGGAAACUUACGCUAAUACCGCAUACGACCUACGGGUGAAAGCAGGGGAUCUUCGGACCUUGCGCGAUUGAAUGAGCCGAUGUCGGAUUAGCUAGUUGGCGGGGUAAAGGCCCACCAAGGCGACGAUACGUAGCUGAUCUGAGAGGAUGAUCAGCCACACUAGAACGGAAACACGGUCCAGACUCCUACGGGAGGCAGCAGUGGGGAAUAUUGGACAGUGGGCGCAAGCCUGAUCCAGCCAUACCGCGUGGGUGAAGAAAGCCUUCGGGUUGUAAAGCCCUUUUGUUGGGAAAGAAAAGCAGCAGGUUGAUACCCCGCUGUUCUGACGGUACCCAAAGAAUAAGCACCGGCUAACUUCGUG
RNAcentral lists this ribosomal RNA (492 nucleotides) under uncultured bacterium. RNAcentral describes it as "partial 16S ribosomal RNA". It matches the Rfam family "Bacterial small subunit ribosomal RNA", at positions 29 to 507 of the family's 1533-position model. The record is from RNAcentral.